This 580-nucleotide ribosomal RNA is filed under the name uncultured Pseudomonas sp. Its description in RNAcentral is "bacterial SSU rRNA". It matches the Rfam family "Bacterial small subunit ribosomal RNA", at positions 19 to 594 of the family's 1533-position model. Lineage: Bacteria; Pseudomonadati; Pseudomonadota; Gammaproteobacteria; Pseudomonadales; Pseudomonadaceae. The record is from RNAcentral.
CUGGCUCAGAUUGAACGCUGGCGGCAGGCCUAACACAUGCAAGUCGAGCGGUAGAGAGAAGCUUGCUUCUCUUGAGAGCGGCGGACGGGUGAGUAAUGCCUAGGAAUCUGCCUGGUAGUGGGGGAUAACGUUCGGAAACGGACGCUAAUACCGCAUACGUCCUACGGGAGAAAGCAGGGGACCUUCGGGCCUUGCGCUAUCAGAUGAGCCUAGGUCGGAUUAGCUAGUUGGUGAGGUAAUGGCUCACCAAGGCGACGAUCCGUAACUGGUCUGAGAGGACGAUCAGUCACACUGGAACUGAGACACGGUCCAGACUCCUACGGGAGGCAGCAGUGGGGAAUAUUGGACAAUGGGCGAAAGCCUGAUCCAGCCAUGCCGCGUGUGUGAAGAAGGUCUUCGGAUUGUAAAGCACUUUAAGUUGGGAGGAAGGGUUGUAGAUUAAUACUCUGCAAUUUUGACGUUACCGACAGAAUAAGCACCGGCUAACUCUGUGCCAGCAGCCGCGGUAAUACAGAGGGUGCAAGCGUUAAUCGGAAUUACUGGGCGUAAAGCGCGCGUAGGUGGUUUGUUAAGUUGGAUG